GGGCUAUAGCUCAGCUGGCUAGAGCGUUUGACUGGCAGUCAAGAGGUCGUCGGUUCGACUCCGACUAGCUCC
Molecule: transfer RNA, 72 nt
Filed under: marine eukaryotic metagenome
Rfam family: tRNA
About the family: Transfer RNA (tRNA) molecules are approximately 80 nucleotides in length. Their secondary structure includes four short double-helical elements and three loops (D, anti-codon, and T loops).
Source: RNAcentral